AACGAACGCUGGCGGCAUGCCUAACACAUGCAAGUCGAACGAGACCUUCGGGUCUAGUGGCGCACGGGUGCGUAACGCGUGGGAACCUGCCCUUAGGUUCGGAAUAACUCCCCGAAAGGGGUGCUAAUACCGGAUAAUGUCUUCGGACCAAAGAUUUAUCGCCGUUGGAUGGGCGCGCGUUGGAUUAGCUAGUUGGUAGGGUAAAAGCCUACCAAGGCGACGAUCCAUAGCUGGUCUGAGAGGAUGCUCAGCCACACUGGGACUGAGACACGGCCCAGACGCCUACGGGACGCAGCAGUGUGUAAUAUUGGACAAUGGGCGAAAGCCUGAUCCAGCAAUGCCGCGUGAGUGAUGAAGGCCUUAGGGUUGUAAAGCUCUUUUACCCGGGAUGAUAAUGACAGUACCGGGAGAAUAAGCUCCGGCUAACUCCGUG
This 433-nucleotide ribosomal RNA is filed under the name uncultured bacterium. RNAcentral's name for it is "partial 16S ribosomal RNA". It matches the Rfam family "Bacterial small subunit ribosomal RNA", at positions 29 to 507 of the family's 1533-position model. The record is from RNAcentral.